UGCUCAUAUGUUAAGUCCCAUUGACAAGCAUUAGUGGGAACUGCAUGCACAUAUGGAUACGUGAAUAGCCCCAAUGGGAUCUGCAUAAAGCAGUGUUUGACUCUACAGAGAUCGCUUCAACUGCCACGAUAAAAUAAUAGAGGGGGAGAAGCCUUAAAGAGUGCUGUGAACAAGGCAAACAAUUUAAAGAAAUUCAUAAAUAAUAGAGGUUAAAAAUGAAACAGCAAAAUUAAAACAGCAUUGGAAUCUAUUGUUUGAAAUAAAUACAAAAUAAUAAUUGUGUUUAAGAAAUUAAUCCUGGCCAAAAUUUAUAAAACAGCUCAUAACUCCAAGUUCUCUAAUUUUUAAACUUCUUUGUCUUCCCCUUACUCUAUAUCCUAAAUAGAAACAAUAAACACAGCAAAAAGCUCUUUCUGACAAGAGGUGAGUUAGGAAAAUCACUGAUAAGCAUUGCUCUGCUGAAGAACACGGGACAUGAAAUGUGGCAGCUCUACAACAGGUCAAUGCUAAUGAUGCUCCUGAGGUUAUGCAACACCGACAGCCACUGUAUAAAUGUCAGAGCAUUGCAGAAACUUCCUGGAAGAGGUUUCUUGCUACCUGAGAAGGCUCCACCAGCCAGUCUGAUGGACACAAAAAAAUCUCUAAAGAAUUUGUUCUCUUUCUGCAGAAAAUCUUCAGAUUUUCCCCUGAAGCCUAAUUCAAAAUCCCAUUUUGGAGAUUUUGAGGAUUUUUGAAUGACAUUUUAAUGAUUUGGAGAACUGUUCUUAUGCUCAAAUAGCUGAAACAACAAAACCCUUCCUGACAGACACACAUAAAUAGGUGCAAUGAACAAUGAAAUCAUCAAUUAACAGAGCAGACAGCAAUCACUGCUGUGAUAAGUGCCCGUAUUAAGAACCUAAAUUGAUGUGAUAUGGAAUAGAUGAUAAGCAAAUAACGUGUAUAAAUCAGGUCUAAUUGUGCUCAAGAUCACUGGUUUCUUACUCUGUUCUGAUGCUCAUAGUGGAAUUCAACCACUGAAUUGCAAGAUUUUGCAGAGUCCUGCUUGUCUAUGAAAGUCUCACUGGCUUGAGACCCAGGUCCAAACUGUUCCAGCAAUGCUGCUUUGGAACAUUCAGAGGUGAAGCAAUCCAUAUGACUGACAGUGAAAGCUCUUAUCAUACAGGAUGUCCUUUUCCAGUGGUCAUUUAGACCAACAGCCAACCUAUUAAUCACAGUAAACCAAAGCUUGUUAGGUCCCUGCUGGCCAAAGCACUUGAGAAGACAAAAGACACCACGUUCCAGCUGACACCUGCAAGUAAUUACACAUGGUGAUAGCAGUGCCUGAAAGUACAAUUUGAGAACCAAUGCUAAAAGGAAAGGUGCAUUUCUUUUUUAUAGACUAAACUAUUUUCUGAUCUCUUAAGUGCCUUAGGGUCUUAGAAAUCAAAGGCAAAUUAGGCAGGGUAAAGAAAAUCAGUUGCCAGGUGUUUAUCUGAAGAAAUUAUAGAUCUCCAGUGAUUUUCACCAGUUCUGAAAGCAAAUUCCCCUUCUAAGAUGACACUGUAUUUUAUUAUAAGGUUGUUUAAUCAGCGUAAUGGCAGAGGGCAACUGCUCCAUGGAGAACAGAAUCUGGAGGCCCACUCUCCCAGAGUGCUUUCUCUACCUACCAACAGAUUUUUCAGUCUGUCUCCCAUGUCUUUGGAUAUCAGAACACAUAUGAGGCAUGACAAAGACAGGCAUGCAUUUUUAGAACAUCAAAUAUGAUGGCUGAUCCUUUCCUAAAAACCUCCUGGAGAGAAGAGGAGAGAAGAGGAGAGAAGAGGAGAGAAGAGGAGAGAAGAUCAGAAGAUGGCUCCUCCUCUGAAGAGCACCAAACGACCACAACCAGAUUCCCACUUCUGGAAAAUAAUCUACCCCCAGGUUCGACUUCGAAGACUUCUCCAUAUUGAAAGAGGAAGAUGAAUUUACAUUCAGAGACUGAGAAAUAAAUCACCAUCAUGCCAUACCACCACAUCCUGGAUCUAUCAGAUGUUUUAGAAAAAAACAUCUGAGAUAACAUCCUCCCCAGUAACUAAUUUCAGCUCAUGUUUCAUUUGAAACUGCUGAGUUGAUUGGUGGGACAAUUUUCUGCACUGAGUCGAUCACCAGCAUCACUGCAAACCAAAGGCAGGUCCACAGCCACUGCAUCAAUCUCUGCCUAAGUCUCUCAGACUGUUGAGCUGUUCAGGCUUUGCUAUCACUGACAAUUUUAAUGUCCCUCAAACCUCUGGCUUUUAAGUUAUCAAUUAAUAAUGCUGCUCGGUGUCUUUUUUUGCUUUGAUUUGUUAUAGAGUUAUCAGUUUCUCUUCCGUGGACAGAGUGUAGUAGUUAUGGUGCAGAUACAUAGGCUGAAAUACCAUCAGUGACAUUCUUCACUGACACGUGGGCAAUGAAUGAAAUGCAUGAAUCCCAUGGAGGUUUGUACUUAAAUUUCCCUGAAGAGCAGAGCUCUUGGGAAAACCACCCAGGACCACCUGGAGGCACAUGUUCCAUGCAGCUGGUGGAGUGUGUGAGGGAAAGCUGUAACUCCAGCUAGCUACAGACAGUUGAGGGACUGCCUCAGGUAAAUUAGGAGGUGCAUACACAAAGAAGUGCAAUCUCUUCAUGUACCACGCAUGCACUGUGAGCUCUGCUGAAUGGAGUUACUUUGCAGGGCUUGACACAA
This is a long non-coding RNA of Passer domesticus (house sparrow), 2683 nucleotides long. RefSeq lists it as uncharacterized. Lineage: Eukaryota; Metazoa; Chordata; Aves; Passeriformes; Passeridae. The transcript is spliced from 2 exons. The record is from RefSeq and is a predicted model, not a curated record.